Molecule: transfer RNA, 73 nt
Filed under: Elusimicrobiota bacterium
Lineage: Bacteria; Pseudomonadati; Elusimicrobiota
Description: tRNA-Glu
Rfam family: tRNA
About the family: Transfer RNA (tRNA) molecules are approximately 80 nucleotides in length.
Source: RNAcentral
GCCCCGUUCGUCUAUUGGUUUAGGACAUCGCCCUCUCAAGGCGGAAAGACGAGUUCGAUUCUCGUACGGGGCG